UACGUAGGGGGCGAGCGUUGUCCGGAUUUAUUGGGCGUAAAGAGCUCGUAGGCGGCUUGGCAAGUCGGGUGUGAAACCUCCAGGCUCAACCUGGAGACGCCACUCGAGACUGCUAUGGCUAGAGUCCGGUAGGGGACCACGGAAUUCCUGGUGUAGCGGUGAAAUGCGCAGAUAUCAGGAGGAACACCGGUGGCGAAGGCAGUGGUCUGGGCCGGCACUGACGCUGAGGAGCGAAAGCGUGGGUAGCAAACAGG
Molecule: ribosomal RNA, 254 nt
Filed under: uncultured bacterium
Lineage: Bacteria
Description: partial 16S ribosomal RNA
Rfam family: Bacterial small subunit ribosomal RNA
Source: RNAcentral